Molecule: ribosomal RNA, 241 nt
Filed under: uncultured bacterium
Lineage: Bacteria
Description: partial 16S ribosomal RNA
Rfam family: Bacterial small subunit ribosomal RNA
Source: RNAcentral
CGCGUGGGUAACCUGCCUCAUACACAUGGAUAACAUACCGAAAGGUAUGCUAAUACAAGAUGAUAUAAGAGAUUCGCAUGAAUUUCUUAUCAAAGCUUUUGCGGUAUGAGAUGGACCCGCGUCUGAUUAGCUAGUUGGUAAGGUAAUGGCUUACCAAGGCUUCGAUCAGUAGCCGACCUGAGAGGGUGAUCGGCCACAUUGGAACUGAGACACGGUCCAAACUCCUACGGGAGGCAGCAUG